AGAAGAAUACAUGAUUUCCCUAGUAACGGCGAGUGAAGAGGAAAGAGCUCAAAGUUGGAAACUGUUUGGCUUAGCUAAACCGUAUUGUAAACUGUAGAAACAUUUUCCUGGCACACCAGAUUAAUAAGUCCUUUGGAACAAGGCAUCAUGGAGGGUGAGAAUCCCGUCUUUGAUCUGAGUAGUUGUCUUUUGUGAUAUGUUUUCAAAGAGUCAGGUUGUUUGGGAAUGCAGCCUAAAUUGGGUGGUAAAUCUCACCUAAAGCUAAAUAUUUGCGAGAGACCGAUAGCGAACAAGUACCGUGAGGGAAAGAUGAAAAGAACUUUGAAAAGAGAGUUAAACAGUAUGUGAAAUUGUUAAAAGGGAACCGUUUGGAGCCAGACUGGUUUGACUGUAAUCAACCUAGAAUUCGUUUUGGGUGCACUUGCAGUCUAUACCUGCCAACAACAGUUUGAUUUGGAGGACAAAAUUAAUAGGAAUGUAGCCUCUCGAGGUGUUAUAGACUAUUAUCAUACUCUGGAUUGGACUGAGGAACGCAGCGAAUGCCUUUAGGCAAGAUUGCUGGGUGCUUUCGCUAAUAAAUGUUAGAAUUUCUGCUUCGGGUGGUGCUAAUGUUUAAAGGAGGAACACAUCUAGUAUAUUUUUUAUUCGCUUAGGUUGUUGGCUUAAUGACUCUAAAUGACCCGUCUUGAAACACGGACCAAGGAGUCCACCAUAAGUGCAAGUAUUUGAGUGACAAACUCAUAUGCGUAAGGAAACUGAUUGAUACGAAGUCUUACGAUGGCAGUAUCACCCGGCGU
RNAcentral lists this ribosomal RNA (797 nucleotides) under Mucor racemosus. RNAcentral's name for it is "LSU rRNA". It matches the Rfam family "Eukaryotic large subunit ribosomal RNA", at positions 56 to 771 of the family's 3401-position model. The record is from RNAcentral. Lineage: Eukaryota; Fungi; Mucoromycota; Mucoromycetes; Mucorales; Mucoraceae.